Molecule: RNA transcript, 2728 nt
Organism: Alnus glutinosa
Lineage: Eukaryota; Viridiplantae; Streptophyta; Magnoliopsida; Fagales; Betulaceae
Gene name: two-component response regulator ARR12-like
Exons: 7
Source: RefSeq, a predicted model, not a curated record
CUCUCCUUCUCUCCAUUUAGCUUUCAUAGAUUCCCUUUCUUUCUCUCUGCUCUUUCAGACAGUCUCUCUCAUCGCUGUCUGUAUGUUCAUAUUCUACCAUUCCAUGGUCUUUGCCGAUACUAUUCUCUGUAUCUCUUGUUUAAUAGAUUCUGGGUUUGAGAACACAAGACUAUAUUCUUGAAACGGUCCUUUUCCAUUGUUCUUGUUCUCUGAGUUCCGUUAAUUAUUCUGCUCGAAGAAAAUGACCGUUGAGCCUGAAAUGGACGACCCCAGAGAUCAUUUUCCCAUUGGAAUGCGUGUGCUCGCAGUUGACGAUGACCCAACUUGCCUCUUUUUCUUGGAGACCCUGCUUCGUAGAUGCCAAUAUCACGUUACGACAACUAAUCAAGCUGUCACAGCAUUGAAGUUGUUGAGAGAAAACAAGAACAAGUUUGACCUCGUUAUCAGUGAUGUGCAUAUGCCAGACAUGGAUGGUUUUAAGUUGCUUGAGCUUGUGGGCCUUGAGAUGGACCUACCUGUCAUAAUGUUGUCUGCAAAUGGUGAUACCAAGCUUGUGAUGAAGGGAAUUACCCAUGGAGCUUGUGAUUAUUUACUGAAACCUGUUCGAAUUGAGGAGCUGAAGAACAUCUGGCAACAUGUUAUCAGGAGAAAGAAGUUUGAUUCAAAAGACUCGAAUCAUUCUGGCAAUCAAGACAACCCUCAUUCUGGGAGUGGCGAAGGAGGAAUUGGGUCAGCCGGGACACUUUCAGAUCAAAAUGGGAAGCUCAAUAAAAGACGAAAGGAUCAGAAUGAAGAUGAGGAGGAGGAGCAUGAUGAAGAUGGGCAUGAUGACUCAUCAACUCAGAAGAAGCCUCGGGUUGUUUGGUCUGUGGAGCUGCAUCGCAAGUUUGUUGCCGCUGUUCAUCAGAUGGGCAUUGACAAGGCUGUUCCUAAAAAGAUUCUAGAUUUGAUGAAUGUUGAAAAGCUUACAAGAGAAAACGUAGCAAGCCAUCUUCAGAAAUACAGGCUUUACCUUAAAAGACUCAACAGUAUUGUAAACCAGCAAGCUAAUAUGGCGGCUGCCUUAGGCAGUACAGAUGCUUCCUAUUUGCGAAUGGGUUCUCUGAGUGGACUCGAAAAUUUCCAUACCUUGAAUGGAUCUGGGCAGUUUCAUAACAGUGCUUUCAGGUCCUUCCCAUCUAGUGGGAUGCUUGGUAGGUUGAACACACCUGCUGGUCUUGGUAUGCGUGGCCUUCCUUCUUCAGGAGUGACUCAAUUGGGUCAUGCACAGAACUCAAGCAGCUCUACUGUUGAUCAGGUUAACUUCCAGCAGGUCAUGCUUCCUGGAAGCCAUAAUGGGAGUGUACUUCAAGGAAUGCCGACGGCACUAGAACUUGAUCCACUUCAACAUAUUAAAGGUGUUACCCAUGCCAGAGAGCUCUCCACUGCUAUUGAUAAUAGAACAGUUUUCCCCAUUUCCAGUGGCUUCCCAGAUGCAAAAAUAACCAUUGGCAGCUCAAGCAAUUCUCUUCUUGGUGUUACAAACAACACCUUGAUGUUAGAACAAAACCGUCAAGGAGCUCAAGGUGGCAAAGUAUUUGGAAAUCAGUCCUCUGUUUCAGUGGCCUCUUUAAAUUCAGAAUUUCCUUCCCCCUUGAUGGAUCACAAUAGACUGAAUGAUAACUGGUCAACUGCUGCUCAGUCAUCUGGGAUCCAUUCAAAUUCUUUUCCAUUAAAUGACUGUUUUAAACAGCCUAUUCUGCAUCAUAAUAACUUGAGGGACAAUAUGUCUACAAUGGCCUUGCGAAUUGGGAGUAAUCGUUGUGAUGUUUCUUCUGUUACUUCAAUGCCCCCUCAAUUGCAGGAUAUUAGAGCAGACAUGCAAUGCCAAGCGAGCCUGAUUAGCAGUAAUGCCGAGCAAAUAAGUAAUCAUGCCCCACCACAAGGGUGGGAUGACCAUAAUCAGGAUGGUUCUUAUCGCUUAAAUGUUAUGUGUAGCUCAAUAAACUCUAUGAUCCCCGUGAAUAGUGCUGUGGGUCCAACGGGUCAGGGUUUGGAACCAAAGAACACAAUCUUCCUAGCCAACAUGGAUUUCAAUUCAAUUGGACAAUCAAAUUUUAAUGAUCCUUUAUACAUGAAGUACGAUCUGGUUAAUAAAUCUGCAGCAGAGGCAUCACUGAAGUUGAAGCAAGGGCUCCUCAUGGACCAAAGGAAGCCACAAGGAAAUCAUAUUUCUAGUAAUUUUGGCUCGUUGGAAGACAUAGUGAGUGCGAUGGUGAAACAGGAAAAUAUAGAAUGGACUGCUGGACUGGAUAGAUGACUGUCUCAUCCAAGAACUUGCCCACUUGCUGAAGGGUUACUCAAGCAUUUGGUGAGAGGGAAGACCUAUUUGCUAAUUUGGAUAGCAAUAAAUAUGAACAAGAUAAGGUGAAACUAAUUGAAGGAGACUUAGGGUGCGACAGUUAUUCCCUUGGGACAUGCAUCUGAAACAAUGACUCCUAGCAACAGAAGGAAUUGCACUAAAAAUGUUUUCCUUGAUGAGUAUUUCAUUGUUAUUAAAGCAGAUAUCUGUCAACGUAUCCACUUUUGCCUCUUAGUUGUAUAAUACUUGAAAAGAUUAGCUUCAGUCGUAUUUAAUUAGCUUCAGUGUAGUCAAUUUUCUUGUUGAUUGAGCAAUGUGAAUAUGUGAUUUAUGAAUAAGGCCAUAAGUGCUUCUUUAUUUGUAUUACGAAAAUGCCUCGUUGCCCUU